GGGUGAGUAACGCGUGAACAAUCUGUCCCAGACAGGGGGAUAACAGAUGGAAACAUCUGCUAAUACCGCAUAAGACCACGACACCACAUGGUGAUGAGGUAAAAGAUUUAUCGGUCUGGGGUGAGUUCGCGUCCGAUUAGCUAGUUGGUGAGGUAACGGCCCACCAAGGCGACGAUCGGUAGCCGACCUGAGAGGGUGAUCGGCCACAUUGGAACUGAGACACGGUCCAAACUCCUACGGGAGGCAGCAGUGGGGAAUAUUGGGCAAUGGGCGCAAGCCUGACCCAGCAACGCCGCGUGAGGGAAGAAGGUUUUCGGAUUGUAAACCUCUGUCCUCAAGGACGAAGGAAGUGACGGUACUUGAGGAGGAAGCCCCGGCUAACUACGUGCCAGCAGCCGCGGUAAUACGUAGGGGGCGAGCGUUGUCCGGAAUGACUGGGCGUAAAGGGCGUGUAGGCGGCUCUUUAAGUCUGGAGUGAAAGUCCUGCUUUCAAGGUGGGAAUUGCUUUGGAGACUGGAGAGCUUGAGUGCGGAAGAGGUAAGUGGAAUUCCCAGUGUAGCGGUGAAAUGCGUAGAUAUUAGGAGGAACACCAGUGGCGAAGGCGGCUUGCUGGACGACAACUGACGCUGAGGCGCGAAAGCGUGGGGAGCAAACAGGAUAAGAUACCCUGGUAGUCCACGCUGUAAACGAUGAAAUACUAGGUGUGGGAAGGACUGACCCCUUCCGUGCCGCAGUUAACACAAUAAGUAUUCCACCUGGGGAGUACGACCGCAAGGUUGAAACUCAAAGGAAUUGACGGGGGCCCGCACAAGCAGUGGAUUAUGUGGUUUAAUUCGACGCAACGCGAAGAACCUUACCAGGACUUGACAUCCAACUAACGAAGUAGAGAUACAUUAGGUGCCCUUCGGGGAAAGUUGAGACAGGUGGUGCAUGGUUGUCGUCAGCUCGUGUCGUGAGAUGUUGGGUUAAGUCCCGCAACGAGCGCAACCCCUAUUGUUAGUUGCUACGCAAGAGCACUCUAGCGAGACUGCCGUUGACAAAACGGAGGAAGGCGGGGACGACGUCAAAUCAUCAUGCCCCUUAUGUCCUGGGCUACACACGUAAUACAAUGGCCGUCAACAAAGGGAAGCGAAGCCGCGAGGUGGAGCAAAUCCCCAAAAACGGUCUCAGUUCGGAUUGCAGGCUGCAACUCGCCUGCAUGAAGCUGGAAUUGCUAGUAAUCGCGGAUCAGCAUGCCGCGGUGAAUACGUUCCCGGGCCUUGCACACACCGCCCGUCA
This 1278-nucleotide ribosomal RNA is filed under the name uncultured bacterium. RNAcentral describes it as "bacterial SSU rRNA". It matches the Rfam family "Bacterial small subunit ribosomal RNA", at positions 104 to 1399 of the family's 1533-position model. The record is from RNAcentral.